Molecule: transfer RNA, 85 nt
Filed under: Thalassolituus oleivorans
Lineage: Bacteria; Pseudomonadati; Pseudomonadota; Gammaproteobacteria; Oceanospirillales; Oceanospirillaceae
Also listed under: 1 other name
Description: tRNA-Ser
Rfam family: tRNA
About the family: Transfer RNA (tRNA) molecules are approximately 80 nucleotides in length. Their secondary structure includes four short double-helical elements and three loops (D, anti-codon, and T loops).
Source: RNAcentral
GGAGAGGUGGCAGAGUGGUCGAAUGCACUGGUCUUGAAAACCAGCGUGCCGCAAGGUACCGUGGGUUCGAAUCCCACCCUCUCCG